CCUACGGGUGGCAGCAGUGAGGAAUAUUGGUCAAUGGACGAGAGGCUGAACCAGCCAAGUAGCGUGAAGGAUGACUGCCCUAUGGGUUGUAAACUUCUUUUAUAUGGGAAUAAAAUGUUCCACGUGUGGGAUUUUGGAUGUACCAUAUGAAUAAGAAUCGGCUAACUCCGUGCCAGCAGCCGCGGUAAUACGGAGGAUCCGAGCGUUAUCCGGAUUUAUUGGGUUUAAAGGGAGCGUAGGUGGAUUGUUAAGUCAGUUGUGAAAGUUUGCGGCUCAACCGUAAAAUUGCAGUUGAUACUGGCAGUCGUGAGUACAGUAGCGGUGGGCGGAAUUCGUGGUGUAGCGGUGAAAUGCUUAGAUAUCACGAAGAACUCCGAUUGCGAAGGCAGCUCACUGGACUGCAACUGACACUGAGGCUCGAAAGUGUGGGUAUCAAACAGGAUUAGAUACCCGGGUAGUC
This 460-nucleotide ribosomal RNA is filed under the name uncultured bacterium. RNAcentral's name for it is "partial 16S ribosomal RNA". It matches the Rfam family "Bacterial small subunit ribosomal RNA", at positions 338 to 795 of the family's 1533-position model. The record is from RNAcentral.